UAUCUCUGUAGAGUCUGCAUAUCAAUAAGCGGAGGAAAAGAAACUAACAAGGAUUCCCUUAGUAACGGCGAGUGAAGCGGGAAGAGCUCAAAUUUGAAAUCUUCAAGGUUCUACCUUGACGAAUUGUAGUUUAAAGAAGUGUUUUCUGUUAGAUGAGUAGCAAAAGUUCCUUGGAAUGGGACAUCAUAGAGGGUGAGAAUCCCGUAUUUGGUUAUUCAUUCUAGCUUUGUGAUACACAUUCAAAGAGUCGGAUUGUUUGGGAAUGCAGUCCAAAAUGGGUGGUAAAUUUCAUCUAAAGCUAAAUAUUGGCGAGAGACCGAUAGGCGAACAAGUACCGUGAGGGAAAGAUGAAAAGAACUUUGAAAAGAGAGUUAAACAGUACGUGAAAUUGUCAAAAGGGAAGCGUUUGACACCAGUGUUGUUUUUUCCGAAAAUCAAUUACGAAUGGCUUGAUUUUGUGUUGUAUUGACCUUAUCAGCUUUCUUCACUUUUUUCGAGUCUUUCUUAAUGCACUUUUCGGUUAACAAGUCAACAUCAAUUUCUUUUGUUGUAAAAGAGUAUUCGGAAGGUGGCUUUCUUUUCGGAGAAAGUGUUUAUAGCCCUAUACUUCUACAAUCGGAGAGAUUGAGGUCUGCAGCGUAGAUCCUUCGGGGUUAGAUACACUUGUGCUAAGUUGUAGCUUUUCAUAGACAACUUGUUGACUAUGUUUAGUCAUGCGGCUUACUCGCUUGUGCUAUUUUACCUACGCUUAGGAUGUUGACUGAUAUGUAGUCGUA
RNAcentral lists this ribosomal RNA (776 nucleotides) under uncultured Neocallimastigales. RNAcentral's name for it is "partial large subunit ribosomal RNA". It matches the Rfam family "Eukaryotic large subunit ribosomal RNA", at positions 24 to 644 of the family's 3401-position model. The record is from RNAcentral. Lineage: Eukaryota; Fungi; Neocallimastigomycota; Neocallimastigomycetes; Neocallimastigales.